GAUGAACGCUGGCGGCGUGCCUAAUACAUGCAAGUUGUGCGGUAACAGAGAGAGCUUGCUCUCUGCUGACGAGCGGCGGACGGCAGAGUAACGCGUAGGAACAUACCCCAAACUGAGGGAUAACUGCUCGAAAGAGUAGCUAAUACCGCAUGUGGUCUUCGGAUUAAAGCUUCGGCGGUUUGGGAUGGCCUGCGUCCGAUUAGCUAGUUGGUGAGGUAAUUGCUCACCAAGGCGACGAUCGGUAGCUGGUCUGAGAGGAUGAUCAGCCUGACUGGAACUGAGAACGGUCCAGACUCCUACGGAGGCAGCAGUAGGGAAUUUUCCACAAUGGGCGAAGCCUGAUGGAGCAACGCCGCGUGCAGGAUGAAUGCCUUCGGUUGUAAACUGCUUUCUGUGUGAAGAAUAUGACGGUAACACAGGAAUAAGGGU
RNAcentral lists this ribosomal RNA (429 nucleotides) under uncultured bacterium. RNAcentral describes it as "bacterial SSU rRNA". It matches the Rfam family "Bacterial small subunit ribosomal RNA", at positions 28 to 493 of the family's 1533-position model. The record is from RNAcentral.